CUAGGAUACAGCAGCAUGGUGUGGAGGCUCCGUACGGCUGGGCGAUUGCAGAAUGUCUUAGGAGGGCGCUGGUAUUCAUGUUUCCUGUACACCUUCCGUGACAUCUGCUAAGAGUUAGUGGACAUCAGCUAGAAGUUUAGCUUCAGAAAAGAUAUCAAUCCAGAAAGCACUAAAGAAACAGAGACCCAAAGGAUUACGGCCAUCGCUUUAUGCGCCUUAGGACCUUUGCAGUUAAAAGUGAAGGAUUUACCAGCCUCCGGCAGCCUCACUAACCUGCACUGGGAUAACAGGGACCAGCGUAGAAGUCUUCUACCAUCUCCAAUUUUUCAGUUAACACUACAGUAAACGGUUGUACCACCAUAAAAGGUACUGGUGUCACGACUAUAAGGGACCUUGCCAUAGACACAUUAAUACAGACUACCAAGGGCACCUCGGACCACCAUCUGGCCUGUGUCCCUUACACCGGAGUGUGCCCCAGAGAAUUCCUGUGCCGUUCUCUUCAUCACUUGUGCAGCCCUGCCCAGGGAUAACAUAACCUGGGACACAAGGAUUAGAGCCUGAAAUCAAAAACGAAUGUGGUCCUGCAUCAUCUUUGCAAUCUUCAGAGGGAGCAUCUGAGGGGCUGUAUCAGCUGUUUAACAGAGCCAGGACUGGCAAGUUCAGCAGUCUUCAGGGGCUGCCCAAGUCAACAACAACAGGUAUGGAAAGAAACUGCUUUCUGUGACCUGCCUGCCACCCAACAAGAAAAGCUUUGCUGCUUGUACUACGGAUGUCCAGGGGUGGACAUCAAAGGUAAUCGUCUACCCAAGACUUCUUGACCAACCAGCAGGGCUGAUGCAAUGACCUGCAGACCAGUGAGGGGAGGAGGUCCCAGUGUCAAAGCUCCUCCCACAGACAAGGUUAUGGACUGUUUUACAACCACUGAAAAGAGGCUCUGAAACCCACACUUAGGAUUGUGAUUACACCUAAAUAACCCCUUCAGAUUAACACAAGAAAAUAAGGAGGGUUAAGAGGCUGAACUUUAUAAAGAACUGGAAACCACAUAUGUGUUGCUGUACAGUGCACAGAAAAAUGGACUUUGCACCAGGGACUUUUUUUAUCCAAGAAGAUCAGACAUGAAGAAGACCACAGUGGCACACUUCUUGUUAGUUCAAGAGAGUUUUUUUAUUUAUGUAUUUUUUAAUAGAAAUCCAAUAGUUCCUGAGUGGUUUUCUGUCAAAUGACUAGGCUAUAUAUGUAGAAAAGGUCCUGUUAGUUGCUGAAAAUAAUUAAAGUGGAAGAACCAGGGGUGGAAUGUAUUGUAAGGGUAAGUUUAAGUAGUGAUUGGUUCUGUCCCCUUUAAUUUUGUCUUUUAUAUUACUUUCAGUAUUCUAUGUAAGGAUAUUCCUUGUAAUGUAGUACCCUUUAGGAAUGUAAUGUUAUCAACAAAUAUCUCCUUGUGGCCCUUGCUAGUUUGAGGUGCGUUUCCCUCACUAAAAAUUAAAAUAA
Long non-coding RNA from Bufo gargarizans (Asiatic toad), 1488 nucleotides. RefSeq lists it as uncharacterized. The record is from RefSeq and is a predicted model, not a curated record. NCBI's taxonomy places the organism in Eukaryota, Metazoa, Chordata, Amphibia, Anura, Bufonidae. The transcript is spliced from 5 exons.